UUGGAGGGCAAGUCUGGUGCCAGCAGCCGCGGUAAUUCCAGCUCCAAUAGCGUAUAUUAAAGUUGUUGCAGUUAAAAAGCUCGUAGUUGAAUUUCGGGAUCAGAUUGUCGGUCGUGCCUCGGUACGCACUGGCAUUAUUGGUUCCUACCUUCUGAAGAACCGCGACGUCAUUAAUUUGGUGUCGUGGGGAAUCAGGACUGUUACUUUGAAAAAAUUAGAGUGUUUAAAACAGGCGCACGCUUGAAUACAUUAGCAUGAAAUAAUGAAAUAGGACGUUUGAUUCUAUUUUGUUGGUUUCUAGGAUCGACGUAAUGAUUAAUAGGGAUAGUUGGGGGCAUUAGUAUUCAAUUGUCAGAGGUGAAAUUCUUGGAUUUAUUGAAGACUAACUACUGCGAAAGCAUUUGCCGAGGAUGUUUACAUUAAUCAAGAACGAAAGUUAGGGGAUCGAAGACGAUCAGAUACCGUCGUAGUCUUAACCAUAAACUAUGCCGACUAGGGAUCGGAUGAUGUUGAUUUUUUAAUGACUCAUUCGGCGCCUUACGGGAAACCAAAGUGUUUGGGUUC
RNAcentral lists this ribosomal RNA (564 nucleotides) under uncultured Glomeromycotina. RNAcentral's name for it is "SSU rRNA". It matches the Rfam family "Eukaryotic small subunit ribosomal RNA", at positions 548 to 1114 of the family's 1831-position model. The record is from RNAcentral. Lineage: Eukaryota; Fungi; Glomeromycota.